CUUCUCCCAACCCACCCCACAGCCGCCGCCGACCCCCGGGCAUCUCUCUGGCCACCGGCUGUCAGCCCUCCCCUUCCUCCCCCGCUGCUGCCCCCCUUCCCCCCUCCCUCCCCCGGGGUCGUAGCCAGGACGCCAGCCGCCGCCGUCCACCCGCUGGCACUGCAGGUCGAGCCAGCAGCCGCGCCACCUGCUGGCCAUCGCGCUGUCGCGCCUCCCCACGCCGUAUCCGCCCCGCCGAGACCCUCUCCAGGCCGCCGCCGCGGUGGCGGGACUCCAGGUCAAGGUCGCGGCGGCGGCACCCUAGCCCUGCUCUGCCCUCGCCUUCUCUCUUGGGCGGACGGCCGGACCAGCUCCUGCUCGUCCACUCCAGCGCUCCAAGCGGCCGGCGCUGGCGCUGCCUAUGUGCCUUCAACCCCCUCCCUAGGCACGCCGCAGGCCCGCAGCGGCCACCGCUGCACCAGCCCCUCGUAAUCUUCGCAGCCUCGUCCAUGAUGGACUAGGGCAAGUAUAUUGGUGUUGUCUUGUAGGUGGUCUCGUGUAGUACCA
This 546-nucleotide unclassified non-coding RNA is filed under the name Zea mays. Its description in RNAcentral is "misc RNA Zm00001eb402350". Lineage: Eukaryota; Viridiplantae; Streptophyta; Magnoliopsida; Poales; Poaceae. The record is from RNAcentral.